CUCCUACGGAGGCAGCAGUGGGGAAUAUUGCGCAAUAGGCGAAAGCCUGACGCAGCGACGCCGCGUGAGGGAUGAAGGCCUUCCGGGUUGUAAACCUACUUUCAGUCAGGGACGAAGCGAAAGUGACGGUACCUGCAGAAGAAGCACCGGCUUAACUACGUGCCAGCCGCCGCGGUAAUUC
RNAcentral lists this ribosomal RNA (181 nucleotides) under uncultured bacterium. RNAcentral describes it as "partial 16S ribosomal RNA". It matches the Rfam family "Bacterial small subunit ribosomal RNA", at positions 336 to 526 of the family's 1533-position model. The record is from RNAcentral.